CGAAAUUGUGGAGAAAAAGUGACCAAAAAAGAAUGCCCCGUGCAACAAACAGGCCUCACAACCACAGACCAUGUGUAAACCACGCCAGGCCAGUUCCUCCACAUCCGGCUUCUUCACCUGCUGGAUCGUCCGAGGGAGUGGGAGAGGACCUGAGCCCUAUGCCUCAGGACUACCUGGCCUGAUGACUCCUUGCUGUCCCCAGUCCAUCUGGCCGUGCUGCUGCUCCAGUUUCAACUGUUCUGCUAUGGAAGCCUGACCUGUUCACCGGACGUGCUACCUAUCCCAGACCUGCUGUUUCCAACUCUCUAGAGACAGCAGGAGUUGUAGAGAUACUCUGAAAGAUCGGCUAUGACAAGCCAACCGACAUUUACUCCUGAGGUGCUGACCUGUUGCACCCUCGACAACUACUGUGAUUAUUAUUAUUUGACCCUGCUGGUCAUCUAUGAACAUUUGAACAUCUUGGCCAUGUUCUGUUAUAAUCUCCACCCGGCACAGCCAGAAGAGGACUGGCCACCCCUCAUAGCCUUGUUCCUCUCUAGGUUUCUUCCUAGGUUCUGGCCUUUCUAGGGAGUUUUUCCUAGCCACCGUGCUAUUACACCUGCAUUGCUUUCUGUUUCUGGUUCUAGGCUGGGUUUCUGUACAGCACUUUGUGACAUCAGCUGAUGUAAGAAGGGCUUUAUAAAUACAUUUGAUUUGAUAUUGUGAUAUGGAUGCCCAUACUGCCCAGGCCCUAGACCUAAUACAUGUAACACCGUCAGUGCCAAUGUUUAGGGUAAUACCUGUAAGCCUGCCAACGCCUGAUAUCUGACAUCAGUAGGAUGUGUGCCAUCCUUAAUGUUUUUCCCACAAGAUUCCUAAGUAAAUGCAAAAAGAGGGGGGUAUUUGGAAAACAGAAAAAGAAGGGAUAGCUCUAUUCACUUAUUUGUUUAUAUCUCUCACAAGUGUGUUAGCAUUUGCAAUGACCAAUAGAAAUUCUAUUGACCUAUUUGUCACAGCAGCUCUUCGCCUGGACAAAAGAAGAGAGGUUGUUUAUUCUUAUUGAAAUGUGAAGAGGUGAGGGUGGUGGUGGUGGGGGGAUGAGUGCUGCUAUGCUGCUGAGUCUGAAUUACAAUAGCCCCCUACUCUCAGGAAUGUGCCCAAAGGUUCUUACAGUGUAAAGUCAUUUUAUAUAUAUAUAUGUUUUUUUUAAUUUUUUUUUAUUGGCCCAUUCACCUCUUUGGAGGACAAUAAAUAACUUUGUUUUUAUAGCUUUUCAGUUUUUGUUACAUUUACAUUCUACACAUAUUUUACAUACAUGCCACUUUUUUUACACAGUAGUUGACAAAAUAUAGUUAUUUGAUAUACAGUGCUCUCCGUAAUGAUUGGGACAGGGAAGCCUAUGUGUAUUAAAGUAAUCAAAUGUUAAGUAUUUGGUCCCAUAUUCAUAGCAUACAAUGACUACAUCAAGCUUGUGACUCUACAAAUGUGUUGGAUGCUUUUGCAGUUAGUUUUGGUUGUGUUUCGGAUG
This is a long non-coding RNA of Oncorhynchus tshawytscha (Chinook salmon), 1507 nucleotides long. The record is from Ensembl. NCBI's taxonomy places the organism in Eukaryota, Metazoa, Chordata, Actinopteri, Salmoniformes, Salmonidae.